This 426-nucleotide long non-coding RNA is filed under the name Brassica napus (rape). RNAcentral describes it as "long non-coding RNA (BNAP_LNC023775)". Lineage: Eukaryota; Viridiplantae; Streptophyta; Magnoliopsida; Brassicales; Brassicaceae. The record is from RNAcentral.
UAUAUAAAUAAAAUGAUCACAUAUAAAAAAAACUAUCGAUAAUAUAUAUAAAUAAAAUGAUCACAUAUAUAAAAAAAACUAUCGAUAAUAUUUUUCAUAACCGUCACUGUUUUCUUCCAUCACUAUCAUUACCCAUGUCUCGUAACUUCCUCUCAUUUUUUUUAAUUUUAACGUCAUUAAUUAUUUUAUUUACCGUGUACCUGUAAGACACAAGGUUAAAACCGGAUGGAAAUGGAAAAUAAGUGAUAUCAUUUAAUUAUGUCAAAUCGAUAACUAUAUUCUUAAUAUUGAUCCCAAAAUUGGUUAGUUGGCAAAUUAACCCUAUGGUAAACUAGUAGCAUUGUAAACUGAUAUUGUAUAUUUUAAUUGGAUAAGACCAUAUUGUGUUCACCUCCUUGAUAUCUAUGGCUGAUUUCUACACCCAAA